RNAcentral lists this ribosomal RNA (464 nucleotides) under uncultured bacterium. Its description in RNAcentral is "partial 16S ribosomal RNA". It matches the Rfam family "Bacterial small subunit ribosomal RNA", at positions 29 to 507 of the family's 1533-position model. The record is from RNAcentral.
ACGCACGCUGGCGGCGUGCUUCACCCCUGCCAGUCGCACGGAAAGGCCCUGCUUGCAGGGUCCUCGAGUGGCGAACGGGUGAGUAACACGUGGGUGAUCUGCCCUGCACUUCGGGAUAAGCCUGGGAAACUGGGUCUAAUACCGGAUAGGAGCCAUUUUUAGUGUGAUGGUUGGAAAGUUUUUUCGGUGUAGGAUGAGCUCGCGGCCUAUCAGCUUGUUGGUGGGGUAAUGGCCUACCAAGGCGGCGACGGGUAGCCGGCCUGAGAGGGUGGACGGCCACAUUGGGACUGAGAUACGGCCCAGACUCCUACGGGAGGCAGCAGUGGGGAAUAUUGCACAAUGGGCGCAAGCCUGAUGCAGCGACGCCGCGUGGGGGAUGACGGCCUUCGGGUUGUAAACUCCUUUCGCUAGGGACGAAGCUUUUUGUGACGGUACCUAGAUAAGAAGCACCGGCUAACUACGUG